This 1644-nucleotide long non-coding RNA is filed under the name Gopherus evgoodei (Goodes thornscrub tortoise). RNAcentral's name for it is "lncRNA (ENSGEVG00005009553.1)". The record is from RNAcentral. Lineage: Eukaryota; Metazoa; Chordata; Testudines; Testudinidae.
CCACCCAACUGCGCCUGCGCGAAGAGAAGCCCCGCCCCGAUCAGGCUGGGCUAUGGAAAGAGUCCGGGCUUGGGGUCCCCGAACAUCAUCAGACACGUGACCGUCAAUGAGUCUCGCCCCGCCCAUUGAGGUCUGCUUGCUGGAGCCGCCGGCCGCCUAGACUCGGGCCAGGCGGCGCGCGGGUCUGCAGGCAGGACCCUGCACCUUUGCUCUGGAGUCAAGGGGAUGACGGAGCGGCAUAGGGAAGAGGCGUGGCUUAGCAAUGGAGUUAGCCCCGCCCAUCGCAACAUGUCGUGUUGGCGCACCUGCAGUCAGUAUGGAGAGAGAAAUAAAGGGAGCCUGUCUUCAUGCUGUUAUGACAUUUGAUAUGAGGAACAGCUCAGCAAGAAGGGGACGUGUAUGGGCCCAGGAAAGAGAAUGUGCUGGUUGGGAAGGAGGUGUCCAGAAGAGACAAAGGGAGACGACUGGUAGGCAUCAGUGGGGUGAUGGAAGUUAAGGACUUUUCUUUCAAAAAAUACAACAGGAAACUAACCGCAAAAAAUAGGUUAAUGCAAAAUUAAAUUUACUAGUUUUUAAAAAGAAAACCUCCAGAAAAUACAAAUAUUAAGGUUCAUAUUGACAGCUGUGUUGCACACACGUAAUGCAGAUGAACCUUGAUUAUUCACACUUCUUUUCAUCUGAAACAAGAUUGGGUCUCUCAAAGCCUGCUAAUAACAUUGCAAAGUUCUUUGGUUAUCUGAACACUUUCUUAUCCAAAUGUAGUCAAUUUUCUCCUUUUACAUGUAGAUAAUCAAGACUGUACUGAAUUCCUAAUGACUAUUUAAAUUGUUUAAAUUUAUGCUUUAAUAGAUAGUAUAUACAAUGUGGGCAAAUUAAUGUUGUGGGAGUCUUAACAUUAACAUUUCCAUGUUUAAAUAUAUAACUUUAAUAUUACAUUGAUGUUAUUUUGUGAAUUAAUUAUAGCUCUUUAGUUAAGAAGUGAGGUUGCAUAAAAUGUAAUUCCUGCAGCAGAAACUGACCCCUGCCUAUUUUAACAUCCUGCUACCCAAUAGAUUUUCUAGUGUUCUUCAUUUCAAGAUUUUCCACUGUACUGUGUCCCAGAUUUGUCCCAAACAAGGUUGAGAGGGAAUAUGUUAGAAUGUCACACACAGUAUGGCCACUUGUCCUUUAUUUGGUGCCUGUUUCAUAUUACACGUUAAAUUAAUCAAUAAAUAUUGUCUUGUAUACACCAAUAAUGAUGCAAAGGGAGUGUACACUGUAAUACAAUGUGUUACUUAUAUAUAAAUGUGUGUCACAAAUAAAACAUUGGGGAUGUGCCCUUAAAAUAAACUUUCUCCUAUAAUUUCCAACUUGUCCUUUAUUCGAAACAUAAAGGGUCUGUAUAUGAGGGUAUGUCUACACUACGGGAUUAUUCCGAUUUCACAUAAGCCGGUUUUAUAAAACAGAUUGUAUAAAGUCUAGUGCACGCGGCCACACUAAGCACAUUAAUUCGGCGGUGUGUGUCCAUGGUCCGAGGCUAGCGUCGAUUUCCGGAGCGUUGCACUGUGGGUAGCUAUUCCGUAGCUAUCCCAUAGUUCCCGCAGUCUCCCCCGCCCCUUAGAAUUCUGGGUUGAGAGCCCAGUGACUGAUGGGGAAAAAUCAUUG